GCCACGGUGGUCUAGCGGUUAGAACGCUGGCCUUGUAAUCCUGGGGUCUCGGGUUCUAUUCCCGGCGGUGCCC
Molecule: non-coding RNA, 73 nt
Organism: Zootermopsis nevadensis
Lineage: Eukaryota; Metazoa; Arthropoda; Insecta; Blattodea; Termopsidae
Source: Rfam